GACGUAGGAGGCGAGCGUUGUCCGGAUUCAUUGGGCGUAAAGAGCGCGCAGGCGGCUUGGUAAGUCGGAUGUGAAAUCCCGAGGCUCAACCUCGGGUCUGCAUCCGAUACUGCCCGGCUAGAGGUAGGUAGGGGAGAUCGGAAUUCCUGGUGUAGCGGUGAAAUGCGUAGAGAUCGGGAAGAACAUCGGUGGCGAAAGCGCUCUACUGGACCGCAACUGACACUCAGGGACGAAAGCUAGGGGAGCGAAUGGG
RNAcentral lists this ribosomal RNA (253 nucleotides) under uncultured bacterium. RNAcentral's name for it is "partial 16S ribosomal RNA". It matches the Rfam family "Bacterial small subunit ribosomal RNA", at positions 524 to 776 of the family's 1533-position model. The record is from RNAcentral.